CCUACGGGUGGCAGCAGUGAGGAAUAUUGGUCAAUGGACGAGAGUCUGAUCCAGCCACGUCGCGUGAAGGAUGACUGCCCUAUGGGUUGUACACUUCUUUUAUAUGGGAAUAAAAUGUUCCACGUGUGGGAUUUUGUAUGUACCCUAUGAAUUAUGAUCGGCUAACUCCGUGCCAGCAGCCGCGGUAAUCCGGAGGCUCCGAGCGUUAUCCGGAUUUAUUGGGUUUAAAGGGGGCGUAGGUGGAUUGUUAAGUCAGUUGUGAAAGUUUGCGGCUCAACCGUAAAAUUGCAGUUGAAACUGGCAGUCUUGAGUACAGUAGAGGUGGGCGGAAUUCGUGGUGUAGCGGUGAAAUGCUUAGAUAUCGCGAAGAACUCCGAUUGCGAAGGCAGGUCACUGGACUGCAACUGACACUGAGGCUCGAAAGUGUGGGUAUCAAACAGGAUUAGAUACCCUUGUAGUC
This 460-nucleotide ribosomal RNA is filed under the name uncultured bacterium. Its description in RNAcentral is "partial 16S ribosomal RNA". It matches the Rfam family "Bacterial small subunit ribosomal RNA", at positions 338 to 795 of the family's 1533-position model. The record is from RNAcentral.